CAAUAGCGUAUAUUAAAGUUGUUGCAGUUAAAAAGCUCGUAGUUGGAUUUCUGGGAGAGUGGCGAUGUCCGCUUAACGUGUGUGCAGCGACGCUCUUCCAUCCUUCUGUUAGCGUCUCUCGGCAUUCAUUUGUCGGUGGCGGGCUCAGAUAUUUUACCUUGAGAAAAUUAGAGUGUUUCAGGCAGGCUAGGCCGGAAUACAUUAGCAUGGAAUAAUGGAAUAGGACUACGGUCUCUUUGUUGGUUUGAGGGACUGCAGUAAUGAUUAAUAGGGAUAGUUGGGGGCAUUAGUAUUUAAUUGUCAGAGGUGGAAUUCUCAGAUUUGUUAAAGACUAACUUAUGCGAAAGCAUUUGCCAAGGAUGUUUUCAUUA
This 371-nucleotide ribosomal RNA is filed under the name uncultured eukaryote. Its description in RNAcentral is "partial 18S ribosomal RNA". It matches the Rfam family "Eukaryotic small subunit ribosomal RNA", at positions 592 to 975 of the family's 1831-position model. The record is from RNAcentral.